Molecule: long non-coding RNA, 1476 nt
Filed under: Heterocephalus glaber (naked mole-rat)
Lineage: Eukaryota; Metazoa; Chordata; Mammalia; Rodentia; Bathyergidae
Description: lncRNA (ENSHGLG00100042504.1)
Source: RNAcentral
AAAGGAGAACAGCACAGGGCGGGGAAAGACUGUGGAGAAGGACAGGAAGCAGACCGCAGGCCACACCCCGGGAGGGAAAUAUGUCGCUGGCCCUGGAGUUUGACCGGAAGAAGGCCUGGUGCCCAGAGGAGCACGCAGAGCAGAAGCCGUGGGGCGGGCGCCCUGGUGCAGGGUGUGAGGCUCACACGUGGGGCAGAGAGAUACAGCGAGGGUGCAGAUGGAGCAGCAUGCAGCGGUCACCUGGGCGACUACCUGAAUCCCGGGAGAAAGAUUUCCCAUGUAGGCAGAGAAGCAGAGCCAGUCCCAGCACCUGAAAUGAAGCUCCCCCGCUGCCAUCCCAAGCUCCUAGGGCAGAGAAGGUGACUGUGUGGGCACCAGAAGCACCCCCCCACCAUGGAAAUGAGAAGACUUAUAAACAAGCCUCAAAAACAGACUUCUGGAUCACCUACAGCAACCCCAAAGGGAAACAAGAUGGAACAAUCUGAUACUCAACCACCUGGACUCUCUGAACUGGCAACAAAAGAGGACCUGGGAAAAAUGAAAUCAGAAAUAAUUACUCAAAUAACGGCAAAGAUUUUGCUCAUGGUGCAAGACAUGGUUAAUAAAUCUAGAGAGGACACAGAUAAAAAAAUAGAGGAGCUGAGGAGCAUGAUGGAAUCCCAACAUAGGAAACAAAUGGAAUUCAUAAAACAGAUACAAACAGAUGUUUAGGAGAUUAAAAAACUCCAUCAAAAGUCUGCACAGCAGAAUGAACCAAUGUGAGGAUAGAAUUUCAGAUAUAGAGGAAAAGAUUGCAAUUAGUGACCAGGAAAAGAAAAAUUGCUUUAAAAUUGUAAGCGAACACGAGAAAUCAAUCCAGCAGCUGCUAGAUGAUACAAAGAAGAAUAACAUAAGACUGAUUGGAGUCAAUGAAGAAAGAGGAGAGAGUGCAGAUGACAUAAAAAAAAAAAACUGUUCACAGAAGUGAUGGUAGAAAACUUCCCAAGGAGGGGAAAAGAACUUGACAUAUAGAUAAGUGAGGCAUAUAGGACUCCAGCUAGCCUUAAUCAAAAAAAUCUACACAUAGGCAUAUAAUAGUUAGGAUUCCAGAAAUCCAACAGAAGAACAAAAUUCUACAAGUAGUGAGAGAAAAGAAACAAAUCACAUACAAAGGAAAGCCCAUCAGAAUCACAGCAGACUUCUCAGUGCAAACCCUCAAGGCAAGAAGAGCUUGGAGUGAUGUAUUUCAAGCCCUAAAGGAAAACAGCCUCCAACCCAGAUGGAUGUACCCUGAAAAACUAUCUUUCAAAACUGAUGGAGAAAUAAGAUACUUUCGUGAUAAAGAGCACCUCAGGAACUUGAUGAAUAUCAAACCGGCACUCCAAAAAAUUUUAGACAAUACCCUAGGAAAAGACAAUGAGGAUCACAACCCCAGGAAACCCAGCAGAAUGAAUCCAUUGGGUGUGAGAAAUUAAACGCAAAGGGGGAGAACCCAAC